This is a long non-coding RNA of Oryzias latipes (Japanese medaka), 637 nucleotides long. RefSeq lists it as uncharacterized. Lineage: Eukaryota; Metazoa; Chordata; Actinopteri; Beloniformes; Adrianichthyidae. The record is from RefSeq and is a predicted model, not a curated record.
UACACUUUAAAAAACAACAUCCACUCAUCCACAACACUCAUAUGCAUCCUGCCUGGAAAAAAAAGAGCAAGUGCAAGAGGUGAGAGCAACACUUAAACAACAGAAUGUCUGUGGAGUCCCUCUUGUCAGAAAGCCUGUCAGAAGAAAGUUAUGACAGCGCUGAAGAGAAGUGUACGGAUGAAGAGGAGGCUGAGGACAGUGAGGAAUACUUUCUUUUAUUCUUGGACCUGAUGUCCUUUGAGCACAUCCAUUACAACAACGCAGUUAUAGAUCAUGAGGUGCAGAUGGAGAGGGACGCACACAUGGAAUGGUGUUCAGAGGAUUUGUGGAUGGCAGCUGAAGUUGACUCAACCUUUUCGUUGUCCUCCUCGGAGGACAGCUGCCAAUACUCUGAUGCCUCACCUCUGAACCAACGUGAGCAGUUCAAUGACUCCUCCUCCUCCUCCUUCUCUUCCUCCCCCUCAUAUACAAACAGUUCAUCCCAAGACUGAAGGAAGUGAGGAAUUGAAAAGCACGGACAAAAGUGGAGAAACAUCCGACUCGAGUUAAAAGAAGUCUGAUGAAAAUCUCUAAGUGACAUUACAAUGAACCAGGGUGCUAGGAAAAAAGGGAAUUGAAUAAAAAAAUUGUUUCUUUA